GCCCGGGUGGCGGAACUGGCAGACGCAAGGGACUUAAAAUCCCUCGGCUUUGGCCGUACGGGUUCGAUUCCCGUCCCGGGCA
This 82-nucleotide transfer RNA is filed under the name Desulfuromonas sp. DDH964. It matches the Rfam family "tRNA". From Rfam's summary of the family: Transfer RNA (tRNA) molecules are approximately 80 nucleotides in length. The record is from Rfam by way of RNAcentral. Lineage: Bacteria; Pseudomonadati; Thermodesulfobacteriota; Desulfuromonadia; Desulfuromonadales; Desulfuromonadaceae.